ACUGGAAACAACCGAGAGUCGGAAAUACUCAGGAGUUCGACUAGUUCAUCUUGAUCUAUUUUGAUCAUUCCUGACUUAAUGCAUCUCCUUCAGCAAGCCUCUGCUUGAUUGCACCCUUCAUCACUUAAAGUAAAAGAUUCCCCUUCUCAAAUUCUGCAGAUGAAGAUUAAUACAGUAAGAUCUGGCUGGAUUAUGGGGUUCUCAGAGGAGAAGCACGCUGGUUCUGACAUACUAUGGAGAAUACUGCCAUCUCCGGUGUAAGCCUGUAUGCCUUCUAAAGAUAAAGGUAAAGGUUUCCCUCGCGCAUAUGUGCUAGUCGUACCUGACUCUAGGGGGUGGUGCUCAUCUCCGUUUCAAAGCCAAAGAGCCACCGCUGUCCGAAGACGUCUCCGUGGUCAUGUGGCCGGCAUGACUAAUCGCCAAAGGCGCACAGAACACUGUUACCUUCCCACCAAAGGUGGUCCCUAUUUUUCUACUUGCAUUUUUUACCUGCUUUCAAACUGCUAGGUUGGCAGAAGCUGGGACAAGUAACGGGAGCUCACCCCGUUACACAGCA
Pantherophis guttatus is the source of this 556-nucleotide long non-coding RNA. RefSeq lists it as uncharacterized. The record is from RefSeq and is a predicted model, not a curated record. NCBI's taxonomy places the organism in Eukaryota, Metazoa, Chordata, Lepidosauria, Squamata, Colubridae.